AACCGUUUCUCGUUAGAUCACCGAAGUCAAGCAUCAUUGGGCGCGGUCAGUACUUGGGUGGGUGACCACCUGGGAACACCGCGUGCCGUU
Molecule: non-coding RNA, 90 nt
Organism: Caerostris darwini
Lineage: Eukaryota; Metazoa; Arthropoda; Arachnida; Araneae; Araneidae
Source: the annotation of a GenBank genome assembly